CCUACGGGAGGCAGCCGUGAGGAAUAUUGGUCAAUGGGCUUACGCCUGAACCAGCAAAGUCGCGUGAGGGAAGACUGCCCUAUGGGUUGUAAACCUCUUUUGUCAGGGAGCAACGCCGGCUACGUGUAGCCGGACUGAGAGUACCUGAAGAAAAAGCAUCGGCUAACUCCGUGCCAGCAGCCGCGGUAAUACGGAGGAUGCGAGCGUUAUCCGGAUUUAUUGGGUUUAAGGGGUGCGUAGGCGGAAUGCCAAGUCAGCGGUAAAAUCGCGGGGCUCAACCUCGCUCCGCCGUUGAAACUGGCGGUCUUGAGUGGGCGAGAAGUAUGCGGAAUGCGUGGUGUAGCGGUGAAAUGCAUAGAUAUCACGCAGAACUCCGAUUGCGAAGGCAGCAUACCGGCGCCCAACUGACGCUGAAGCACGAAAGCGUGGGUAUCGAACAGGAUUAGAUACCCCAGUAGUC
This 460-nucleotide ribosomal RNA is filed under the name uncultured bacterium. RNAcentral describes it as "partial 16S ribosomal RNA". It matches the Rfam family "Bacterial small subunit ribosomal RNA", at positions 338 to 795 of the family's 1533-position model. The record is from RNAcentral.